CUGGUCUGAGAGGAUGAUCAGCCACAUCGGGACUGAGACACGGCCCGAACUCCUACGGGAGGCAGCAGUGGGGAAUAUUGGACAAUGGGCGAAAGCCUGAUCCAGCCAUGCCGCGUGUGUGAAGAAGGCUUUCGGGUUGUAAAGCACUUUCAGUGAGAGAACGCCUUGGGGCUAAUACCCCCGAGGGAAGACAUCACUCACAGAAGAAGCACCGGCUAACUCCGGCCACAGCCGCGGUAAUACGGAGGGUGCAAGCGUUAAUCGGAAUUACUGGGCGUAAAGCGCGCGUAGGCGGCGUGAUAAGCCGGUUGUAAAGCCCCGGGCUCAACCUGGGAACGGCAUCCGGAACUGUCAGGCUAAGUGCAGGAGAGGAAGGUAGAAUUCCCGGUGUAGCGGUGAAAUGCGUAGAGAUCGGGAGGAAUACCAGGGCGAAGGCGCCUUCUGGACUGACACUGACGCUGAGGUGCGAAAGCGUGGGUAGCAAACAGGAUUAGUACCCUGGUAGUCCACGCCGUAAACGAUGUCGACUAGCCGUUGGGGUCCUAGAGACCUUUGUGGCGCAUUAACGCGAUAAGCGACCGCCUGGGGAGUACGGCCGCAAGGUUAAAACUCAAAUGAAUUGACGGGGGCCCGCACAAGCGGUGGAGCAUGUGGUUUAAUUCGAUGCAACGCGAAGAACCUUACCUACCCUUGACAUCGUGCGAACUUGGUAGGAUACCUUGGUGCCUUCGGGAACGGUGCUGCAUGGCUGUCGUCAGCUCGUGUUGUGAAAUGUUGGGUUAAGUCCCGUAACGAGCGCAACCCUUGUCCCUAUUUGCCAGCGAUUCGGUCGGGAACUCUAGGGAGACUGCCGGUGACAAACCGGAGGAAGGUGGGGACGACGUCAAGU
This 889-nucleotide ribosomal RNA is filed under the name Halomonadaceae bacterium D-W-90. RNAcentral's name for it is "bacterial SSU rRNA". It matches the Rfam family "Bacterial small subunit ribosomal RNA", at positions 287 to 1190 of the family's 1533-position model. Lineage: Bacteria; Pseudomonadati; Pseudomonadota; Gammaproteobacteria; Oceanospirillales; Halomonadaceae. The record is from RNAcentral.